AAAAUGACAAGUAUAUGUGGUUGCUUAAUGAAUGCAGGUGAAUAUCAAGGUGGGGGUGGACGAAUUUACACAAGGUCUCACCUUGAACUUGGCAGGGCACCGAAUGAAGAGCUCCUUCCUGUUUUGCUAGAAACCUUAAGUGUGGAAUGAGAAUGAAGUUCUUGUUUGCAAAGAGAGGUAAAAAGGGAGGAGGGCUGUAUUGUUGGGGUGCGAGAAUGCAGCAGGCUCAAGAGAAGUUAGGGGAGUGUGCAGCACAUGUCUCCACCCCUUUUCCUUUUCCCAUUUUCUUGAACUUAGGGGGGGGUGGCAGGUGGUGGAGUAGGAAAGUGGUAGAGUGUAAACCGUAGGGAGUGCCUUUCCUUCUUCAUUUUUCUUUGUUGCAGAUGGUAGAUAAGCAUAGGUGUGUAU
Molecule: long non-coding RNA, 408 nt
Filed under: Salvia miltiorrhiza (redroot sage)
Lineage: Eukaryota; Viridiplantae; Streptophyta; Magnoliopsida; Lamiales; Lamiaceae
Description: long non-coding RNA (SMIL_LNC012646)
Source: RNAcentral